This 1358-nucleotide long non-coding RNA is filed under the name Oryctolagus cuniculus (rabbit). Its description in RNAcentral is "lncRNA (ENSOCUG00000036564.1)". Lineage: Eukaryota; Metazoa; Chordata; Mammalia; Lagomorpha; Leporidae. The record is from RNAcentral.
UAGAAAUGACCAAACAGGUAGACAAAACCAGCGAGUCAAGAACAGUACAAUGGGGUGAGACCCAAGCACCUUCAUCCAACCCCGGGAGGAGGGUGCGGCGGCGGGGAGCGGGGCUGCGCGCGGCGGCUUUUUCCCCCACUUCACUUUCGCAGACCCGGGUGGGCAAGGAGCGUCCGUUCCGCUGCUCCGCGUGGCUGCAGCUCCGCAAGCGCUGAGCCCCGCCGUCCGCUCUGGCCGCGGAGCCGGCCAAAGGCCAGAAAAUGCGCAGAGCGCUCGCAACCUACCCCGGAGCCGCCGGCCGCGCGUCCCGAGCCGGCCGCAGCCGCAGCCGCCGCCGCCGCGCCGCGCCCCGCCCCGCCGCCUCGCUCCCCCAGCGCCUGCGGCCGGGAAGCUGGAGCAGCCGCGCCCGGAGACCCUGCUCGGGGUGGAGCGUGCACCACCGGGGCAGUGCGUUUAGCAAACACACCUUUGCCUCCCAGCUGCCUGCACACAUGCAGGGACAAGGCAUGGAGUAUUCAAGCGCCUUUUGGAGCAAGCUUUUCACCAUCUUGUACUGCCUGACUCAGAAGAUAAGAAUGAGGGGAUCUCAGUCUUUUGACGAUGUGCCAGCUGUGCUGUGCUACCGACCCAUCCUCCAGAACUAGGUUUUGGGGUUCUAGUUCAUCUUUCUGGUCUCCAAAAACAAACAAUGGGAUCCUUUCUUCCAGAGGGCCAAAAUGGCAAUACCAUUACCAUUCUUGGAUUCCCAGGAAUACAGAGCCUCUCCCAACAAGUGUUUGCCUGGCUGUGCACAGUAAUCUCAACACCGGUGUCCCAGGAAAUGGCCCACAAUUUCACCAUAUUCAGGAAGUCCUGUUGAAGAAAUGUAGAGAGCUGUGUUUUCUUGGGAGGGUCACUGACUCAAUGACCUCCAUUUCCAGGCUGUUUGCCCAUUGUAAUCAAUUUUUCCUUCUGUUACGCACAUUUAUGAAAUAUUGGGUACCUGGCUUUUCUUAGGGAUGCAUGUCUAACUCCACAUAACUCUACAUGGUUUCAGUUGUUUACAAGGCAAUCUUGGGUGAUCCUAGCAACUCUAUUGCUGUCAUUUUAAGACCAUUAGAACCUUAGAAACGUCCUAAGAGUCCUCCUUUUUUUAUUCUUCUUGCUUAUUUUUAAAUGGAAGGAAGUCUUAUGAGGUAGCAAGGUGGUGAGGAGGAAGACACUGCUUUAGCUCCUGCUAGUUAUUCCAUGUUAUGCUUGAGCUUGUUAUUUGCAUCUGGUCUCUAUUUGUUAGCAUCAAUGGACUGUGUUUGCAUAACUAGAUCAAAUUAUGAAAGGACUUUGAUUUUGAAUGGUUAAUUCACACACACAGUCAAGCU